CUUUUUUCUUUUUUUUUUUUUUUUUUUUUGGGUACAGGGAAGGGAAAACAAGAGUGUUUCCUAACUGUUAUCCUCUUUCAUCUCCUCCUUCACCUCUGAUCCUUCUUCUAAAUAUUUUUAGAUGGUCUACCCAGACCCCCAGGUAUUAUUAUACAACUUCAGUUUUGAUAGGCCUCUGUUAAGGGCUGAGGCUUUAUCUAUAACUGAGUGGUAUAAAGCUCAGUGUUGUCAUUGCAAAAUUAUAAGUAUACAAUGGUUAAUCUCUAUAAAGGACUCGGCUGGUAAAAUGAAAAUCCCAAGAUAUCCCAAAGUGCUUUUGAACCACAGCAAAACCUCUGGUUCUGAAAUCCAAGAGUAAAAUUAUUUCAUCCUCCAAGACUUCCCAUAGUGCACAGGGAUUAAAAUUGAAAACUGGAAUUGCACUUUAUAAUAUUGAAAAAUGUUAUAAUAUGAAACAAAAAAAUUUUUCACACUCUAUCCAAAACUGACAGCCCUCAUGUUUGAGGUUGUAGUAUCACAUGGAAAUCUAUUAUAAUUUAUGCCAAUGUAGUUAAAUUUAGUGCUUAUUUCUCUGUCACACAGGUUGAUCAAAAAUUAUGUUCUCUUUUCCCCUCGAUUCCUCUUUAUAAUAGAAGUUUUGAAAAUUGACAUGAAAUCACAAGCUGAAAUCUCCUAAAAUGUGCCAGCUACUCCUGAAAAUGCAACAAACCUUCAACCCCAUCCCUCAUCUUCCCCUAUUAAAAAGUCAAACACAUUUUUGAUGGAAAAAAAGUAGCUACAGUUUUCUAGUGCAUAAUACUCCCAUUUUUAGCAAGAAGCAUAGUAUAGUGAGGAUUACGCUACAAAGCUAAGCAUGACGUGUAAAUACAGCACAUUGAGACACAGAAUCUUUUGUACUAUUUGUAGAGAUCCUUUGGAUCUAAUUUGUAUAAGAAAGGAGAGACUCUCUUUAAUUAUAUGCAGCAAAAGCAUAUUUAACUUGAAGACGCACAAUGUCUUCUUAAAAAUCUGUUGAAAACAGAGAGCCCUUUGCAGGCAGUGAAGAUGACAACUCAUCUUCUUUGUACUUUUUAAUAUUGUCCAAAUCCAAAUAAUCCAAAUCUGAAACCUUUAAAAGUACUGGCAUUGCAAUCUCAACCUUGGUGAAGGGUGUGGCCAAAAUACAGCAAAAAAUGAAGUUGUUUCCUUUUUUAUUCUUUGGCAUACUAUGAAAAGGCUAAUUGCUCUAACUUUCCCCUACCCCCCCUGUUAUUAUUUAAAAGAAAUUGCCAAAGAAAGGUAACCUAACAAAAAACUUGACUCAGUUUGUCACAGAUGUACGUUUGGGGCUAAAAAGGGCAAUGGCACUUCACAUAUGCUCACUGAAGAAAGGAACAUUUGGAGUUUGGACACCUUACUAGAAGGGUUUUGUGAUUAGAAAAAAAAAAUUUAUAUUCAGUAUUAAAACAGUAGAGUCUAGCAAGACAUAUAUAUAUAUAUAUAUAUAUAUAUAUAUAUAUAUAUAUAUAUAUAUAUAUAUAUAUAUUUUCCCCCUCUACUUCUAUAUGAUAUGGCAAAUAUUCUUAUAGUAAAGGCAAGAAAAUGAAAGAUUCAAUGACCAGCUUCCUGCAAUUAUGCAUUUUUUUCAAUCUAAAGACAACACUGUGUCAGUGAAAGGUCUUGUUUGAGCAGCUGGAGACUUGAAGAUUUACAUUUUUAGGCAGUGUAAAAUAGUUGGCUAAUAAGAACAACUCAGAAAAUGAAGAGAAAAUUUAAUCUGAAGCUUAUUCAAAUACUCAACCUCUAUUUAAUUGCAGCCCAGCUAAGAUCCUUAAGAGUGCUCUACCCGUCCGGUUGUUGCAGGUUACUUUACUAAUCACUCCCCAUAUUGAAUUAAGUUGACACUGUAUCUGCAAUUAAAAAUAAAUGUGACAGUGCAAGGAAGCAAGUGGAUCUUAUUCAACAAAAACAAGCAAUGAUUCAUUUGUAAUCUUUUGUAUCCAGGCACAUCACCUUUACUGUAGUGAGAUGUGCUACUCAGUCAAGCUUCUGUUGACAUGUUUUGACAAAAUUUAUUUCUUCAGGUUGUUUGCUUGAUCCUAGAGAGCAAAAGAUAGAGCCCUGCUGUUUUAUACACUGUAUGAGCUCCUAAUAAGGAACAGCGUCUUUUCCCUGGAGGACUUAAAUUAAAAGAGACAUGACAGAGGAUAGGAACAACAAUAAAUGCAAAGACAAAAGUUGAAGGGCAUUGUUUUCAGAGAAUGUUUGGGUACUAGAAACUUUCAGGGGCCAGUUCUUUUGGUUGUCUGGAAGAGGACAUUGGAGUCUGGUGCAAAUAUCAAUCCUGGAUAAGGAGACAGGACCAGAUGGGUUUGACAUAUCUCCUGGCUCCAAAUGAGCUCAGGCAUUUGUACCUCAGAGCCCCCUCUGGUGCAGCCAUUGAUUAGAAAUCACUCCCAAGCUCUGAAGUCACUUUGUUGCUUUUGGAAGCCUUAAAAAAAAAAUAAUGCAGAAGGCUGAGUAUGAACUUUUGUAAAUGAAACUGGGGGUGGUGAAUGGUAUUUGGUAGGGCUGAGCUGCAAAACACACAGCAUGCAGGCUUGGGGCUCUAUUUGUGGCUCAGACAGGCUUCUCCAGAGGUCAGGUUUUCUAUUCUCUAACAAAAGUACAAAAUUCCCUUCUAGAGUCACCAUUGGUGACUGAAGAGUUUUGAUUUAAAGGACAUAAACCAAAAAAUAAAAUCAUCGUGGAUCAAACUGAAACUAAUAUAUCUGGCUAGUUUAAUGGCCAGGUCUUGGCACCCUAGCUGGAUCAGAUGGUUUUGUGAAAAAUAUUUGUGUUGUUAACCUACUUCUGUGUGGGUCUUGAGUUGAAAUGGUGAUGCUUCCAGGAAAUAAGCAGCUGUGUACGAGAACAACCACUAAUGCAAGCCCAGAUAUUGAUAUGCAGCCAACUGAGCCAGUCUGUUUCCUUCUCCAGAAAAAAAGUACAAAAUGUGUUGACUUGAUAUCUUGGGAAGACAAGAAAAACAAAGAAAAGAAAAAAAACCCAAGAAAAACAACAACAACAAAAAAAGCUGGACUCACACCAACUCAGCCUUCAACCUACAAGCCAAGUCCAGGCUUGGCCUCAACCUUACUGCAAGACAGAGAUGAAUGGAACAACUCCCUCUCCAGAGAACCCUACCAGCACAUAUCACAAUAGUACCAGCUGAACUGCAGAUGCUUUGUAGCAAGUAGCCUUUAAGGACCCGGGAAACCAGCCCACUGCCUUAUUGAGCUAUUACCUCCUAUACAAACAUUACAUUUACUAUCCAUAUCCCUGCCAGAGGCACUGCAGUUUCAUUCUGGCUUACCAGACACAAUGAUUGCUGCUCCCCUCUCGAUCCUUUUCAAUUUUUGUGCUCCCCUGUCUCACUGUUCCUGUUGUCCUCAGGAGGGAUGGAAUCAUGCUGCUCCAAAGCCCACUGCUGUCUACAGAUCAGUGCGAAACUAUAGGCACACGUUUCCAUUUGGCCACUUUUGUCUGCUAUAGAUGACUGAAACCAGAUUAACUUCGUUCCUACAAGAAACUUUAGACUUUGGGGAAGCAAAAGCAUUCCCACCUUUAGUCUAAAAUUACAGCAAAUAUGGCUUUAUACACUCAUUGCAAAGCUACACUAAACAUCGUGCCUUUUUAGCUGCUGCAAGAACAGCAAAUAAAAAUGCAGCUUGCAUGUUAUAAUUUUCAAUACAGUAGUUGCUGGCUCAGGCAAAGCAAGUGGGGGGGGGGCAGAAAACCCUGAAGGAUUCUGGGUAUUUUUUCCCUUUUACCUCAUUAAGCUUUGCUUCCAAUUACAUUUUAAUGAUGCUUGAUGUCUUCUGUAUGCUAGCAUUUACUGCAGUCUCUUUAAAUUUAAUCGUCUUGAUAAUGGGUUACUCUGACACUGCAAAUUAGGGGCUGAAAGAAACCUUUUGCCACAUCCAGGAAAAGCUGUAAGUCCAGUCCGCAGCCUGUUGCUACUCAGCAAGAAAUAGCAGCCUGGCAUUGUAGUGUUCCUCCCGUCUCAUGGCUUCCUGCUUCCUAAAUGGUGAAUUAAGAUGAACUAAUCACACAAGGGGGAUAGGGGGAAGAAAAAAAAAUAAAGGUUAACUUCUGGAAUGUUGUUUUCUACCAGUGUGUUUGAAGCCACUUUGGGGUAUGGGGCACCACUUUGAGCAGUUUGUUUUCCCCAGUUUUCUCCACACUCAUUGGGAGCUCUAAUGGUUGGCUUCUUGCUGUAACUGGGAGCUAAAGGGAGUUUAUGGAUUUACUUUUGAAGAUAGCCUUACCUUUUUCCAGCACCUCUCAUCCUCAUACAACAGGCAUCUAGAUAGUAUCCACGCAAGCUGUAAACUCACAGCCUCAUGUGGAAAGAUUAAGAGUGUAAAAUUAGAGGUUCAUCACCCACAUAUUUUCACACUUGCUUGUGCUGUAUUUUAGAUUCUGCUUUUGCUAUUGGUUUAUAUGACUUCCCAUCUUCAAAACAUCUAAUCACCUAGCAACCACUGGGUCAAAACCCUUCCUACGAGCUGAACAUUUUCAAAUCCCUUCUUAUUCUAGGAGCACAAUAAACAGGAAAAAAUCUACAGGAAAAGAAAAGGACAGAGACAACGAGAGAGAACAUUUGGAAAGAAGGAAAAAAAAAACAACAACAACAAAAAAAAAAAAACCAACAAAAACCCAAUUGCUGCCAGUCAUAAGUAAAUUCAGUGGUGUAGUGGGAUUUAGGUCAGGUCAGGUUCUGCUGAGAUCUAGUGCCUCCCCUUCCUUAGAAUUUAAACUGUUUAUUUAAAAAGUAACCCAGAGCAAAAAAAAAUAAAAAAAAAUAAAAAAAAA
This is a long non-coding RNA of Taeniopygia guttata (zebra finch), 4836 nucleotides long. The record is from Ensembl. Lineage: Eukaryota; Metazoa; Chordata; Aves; Passeriformes; Estrildidae.